GACGAACGCUGGCGGCGUGCCUAAUACAUGCAAGUAGAACGCUGAAGGAGGAGCUUGCUUCUCUGGAUGAGUUGCGAACGGGUGAGUAACGCGUAGGUAACCUGCCUGGUAGUGGGGGAUAACUAUUGGAAACGAUAGCUAAUACCGCAUAAUAGCAGUUGUUGCAUGAUAACUGUUUGAAAGGUGCAAUUGCACCGCUACCAGAUGGACCUGCGUUGUAUUAGCUAGUUGGUGGGGUAACGGCUCACCAAGGCGACGAUACAUAGCCGACCUGAGAGGGUGAUCGGCCACACUGGGACUGAGACACGGCCCAGACUCCUACGGGAGGCAGCAGUAGGGAAUCUUCGGCAAUGGACGGAAGUCUGACCGAGCAACGCCGCGUGAGUGAAGAAGGUUUUCGGAUCGUAAAGCUCUGUUGUAAGAGAAGAACAAGUGUGAGAGUGGAAAGUUCACACUGUGACGGUAUCUUACCAGAAAGGGACGGCUAACUACGUG
RNAcentral lists this ribosomal RNA (495 nucleotides) under uncultured bacterium. RNAcentral's name for it is "partial 16S ribosomal RNA". It matches the Rfam family "Bacterial small subunit ribosomal RNA", at positions 28 to 507 of the family's 1533-position model. The record is from RNAcentral.